RNAcentral lists this ribosomal RNA (278 nucleotides) under Solanum tuberosum (potato). RNAcentral describes it as "rRNA LSU_rRNA_eukarya". It matches the Rfam family "Eukaryotic large subunit ribosomal RNA", at positions 675 to 954 of the family's 3401-position model. Lineage: Eukaryota; Viridiplantae; Streptophyta; Magnoliopsida; Solanales; Solanaceae. The record is from Rfam by way of RNAcentral.
CUGACAUGUGUGCGACUCAACGGGCGAGUAAACCCGGAAGCCAUAAGGAAGCUGAUUGGUGGGAUCCCUCUGAGGGGUGCAACGCAGAUCGACCUUGAUCUUCUGAGAAGGGUUCGAGUGUGAGCAUACCUAUCGAGACUCGAAAGAUGGUGAACUAUGGCUGAGCGGGGCAAAGCCAGAGGAAACUCUGGUGGAGGCCUGCAGCGAUACUGACGUGGAAAUCGUUUGUCUUACUUGGGUAUAGGGGCGAAAGACUAAUCGAACAGUCUAGUAGCUGG